RNAcentral lists this microRNA precursor (187 nucleotides) under Oryza brachyantha (malo sina). RNAcentral's name for it is "MIR812 microRNA precursor family". It matches the Rfam family "MIR812 microRNA precursor family". Lineage: Eukaryota; Viridiplantae; Streptophyta; Magnoliopsida; Poales; Poaceae. The record is from Rfam by way of RNAcentral.
AAUAAACCAAUUUUUUACUUUUUAUCUAUAAUUUUUGACUUUUCGUUUUAUUAAAAAAAAUUUGCAAUUGAUAUUUUUGUUUUAUUAGAUGAUAAAUCAUGAAUAGUAUUUUACGUGUGACUAAUUUUUUUAAUUUCCUAAAAAAAAUUUAAAUAAGACAGAUAAUCAAACGUUGGACACGAAAACU